GCACCGGCUAACUCCGUGCCAGCAGCCGCGGUAAUACGGAGGGUGCGAGCGUUAAUCGGAAUUACUGGGCGUAAAGACGCAUGCAGGCGGCCGCGUUAAGUCAGAUGUGAAAGACCCGGGGCGUUAACCUCGGAAUUGCAUUUGAAACUAGGCAGGCUAGAGUCUUGUAGAGGGGGGUAGGGAAGUUUCAGGUGUAGCGGUGAAAUAGCGUAGAGAUCUGAAGGAAUACCAGUGGCGAAGGCGGCCCCCUCGGACAAAGACUGACGCUCAGAUGCGAAAGCGUGGGGAGCAAACAGGAUUAGAUACCCUGGUAG
RNAcentral lists this ribosomal RNA (314 nucleotides) under uncultured bacterium. Its description in RNAcentral is "bacterial SSU rRNA". It matches the Rfam family "Bacterial small subunit ribosomal RNA", at positions 490 to 793 of the family's 1533-position model. The record is from RNAcentral.